Triticum aestivum (bread wheat) is the source of this 1158-nucleotide long non-coding RNA. RefSeq lists it as uncharacterized. The transcript is spliced from 7 exons. NCBI's taxonomy places the organism in Eukaryota, Viridiplantae, Streptophyta, Magnoliopsida, Poales, Poaceae. The record is from RefSeq and is a predicted model, not a curated record.
AGUGAACGCGCCGCCUCUUCCUAGAUCUCCGCCGCCGCCGCCUGGGCUCAAUGCUGUCACUGCCGCUGGACUCGACACCACCGCUGCCACCUUGACUGGACCGGCGACCUCUGUCCCCAGCAUCCUCUCCUCCAGACGCCAGGCUGCUGCUGCCCGCUACCCCAUCUUGCGCUCGGCUGCUCGUUUGAUUGAAUGCUUGUGAGGGAGUCAUCGGCUUGUGCAGUCGAACUGGUCAAGAGCUGUAUGUUAUUCACCGGCGGAGCUACGGCUGGACCUGCAGGCGCCUGAUUAUCUAACCAGGAACACAUGAUUUGAAUAUUGGCAGCUAACUACAAUGGCAGCUAAUUUAGGGUGUGUAAGAUACAAUGUCGAUGCUAUCUCGGCGCCCAGUGGAAACCUGUUUCUAUCUCUGCAUGUCGUUCAUGAUCAGGGACCCGAUUGAAUAAUGUAAAAAUCCUGAAAGGCCUACGGUGGACAUUGUCAUUACCUGAAGAUAGCUGACUGAAUACUGUGACAUCUCUUGGAACAUCAAACCAGGCAAUGUUGGAGAAGAUGGCGUCCUGGAUUGGAUAGCAGAGAUUGUGCAGAGCACUAUGGAUAUCUACUUUACUGACAGGGACUUUAGGCAUAAUACAUAGUGCUUUUCCUGAAUGUUUGCGGGGAGCUCAGUUAGUGUCGAUGCCUCAAGGGUUUAUGAAUAACAGUUCCAUGUUGCUUAAAGGCAUUGUAAUGCUGGCUACUAGUUUCCAGGUAUAUGUUUAUGUAGUCAUAUGGACGCGCUCAUUGAUAGUUCCUAUAGAAUGUUUAUAUUCUUUAUAACUUUGCCAUGGAUGAACCUAUUCUGGAUAAUGAGGAGUUAGCAAGGGAAGUUUUGGAUUGUAGAGAAUUGGCGACGCCUUUGCUUCAGGAUACUUAAUUAUAUGGCCUUGAGCUUUUAUUGAAAAGAAGGAUAAUUGAGUUGCAGCUGAAUUCUUCGGUUGGAUCAAGCAGCGAAGAAGAUUUUACUUAGCAAUACCUGUAGUUUACAUUGACAGAUUGAAAAAUGUAAUAUCAUUCACAAGAUUUUCUCCACAGUUGUGUUGUCUAUACUCAAAUUGAUAUGAAUGAUAUUAUGUUGCACCAAUAAUAUUGGUAUUUGUUUAUUGUAAUGCAUACGUA